This is a non-coding RNA of Pelobates cultripes (western spadefoot toad), 226 nucleotides long. The record is from the annotation of a GenBank genome assembly. Lineage: Eukaryota; Metazoa; Chordata; Amphibia; Anura; Pelobatidae.
CAAUGCAUUUCUUACGCACACUCAAUGCGCACACUUACAGACACACACCUUGCAUCCCUUAUACAUACAAACACAGAUUCACACACUGCAUCCCUCACAAACAACCAGAAACACACAUCCCUUAUACACAAACAGACAUUGCUUCCACUACACACAAACACACUGCAUCACCUACACAAACUGGUAUCCCUAUACACUACAUUCCAUAAGCACACACAUUAGAUCC